Molecule: ribosomal RNA, 329 nt
Filed under: uncultured eukaryote
Lineage: Eukaryota
Description: partial 18S ribosomal RNA
Rfam family: Eukaryotic small subunit ribosomal RNA
Source: RNAcentral
CCCUUAGAUGUUCUGGGCCGCACGCGCGCUACACUGAUGCAUUCAACGAGUCUAAAACCUGCUCUGAUAGGGGUGGGUAAUCUUUUGAAUGUGCAUCGUGAUUGGGAUAGAUGAUUGCAAUUUUUCAUCUUCAACGAGGAAUGCCUAGUAAACGCAAGUCAUCAGCUUGCAUUGAUUACGUCCCUGCCCUUUGUACACACCGCCCGUCGCUCCUACCGAUUGAAUGAUCCGAUGAAUAUCAUGGAUUGAGGAUGCAAGUAGGUUCGCCUAUCUUCAUCUUCGAGAAGUGAAGUGAAUCUUAUCAUUUAGAGGAAGGAGAAGUCGUAACA